This 318-nucleotide ribosomal RNA is filed under the name uncultured bacterium. Its description in RNAcentral is "bacterial SSU rRNA". It matches the Rfam family "Bacterial small subunit ribosomal RNA", at positions 28 to 334 of the family's 1533-position model. The record is from RNAcentral.
GAUGAACGCUGGCGGCGUGCCUAAUACAUGCAAGUCGAGCGAACGGACGAGAAGCUUGCUUCUCUGAUGUUAGCGGCGGACGGGUGAGUAACACGUGGAUAACCUACCUAUAAGACUGGGAUAACUUCGGGAAACCGGAGCUAAUACCGCAUAACAAUAAAAGCCGCAUGGCUUUUAUUUGAAAGAUGGCUUUGGCUAUCACUCUGGGAUGGACCUGCGGUGCAUUAGCUAGUUGGUAGGGUAACGGCUUACCAAGGCGAUGAUGCAUAGCCGAGUUGAGAGACUGAUCGGCCACAAUGGAACUGAGACACGGUCCGU